AUCCGCGUGGUGGACUCGAGCAGGUCCAGCUCGGGCUUGGACAGCCUGCCGGGGCGGGGCUCGGCGGGCUCGGGCUCCGGCUGCGGGGC
Molecule: transfer RNA, 89 nt
Filed under: Streptomyces brasiliensis
Lineage: Bacteria; Bacillati; Actinomycetota; Actinomycetes; Kitasatosporales; Streptomycetaceae
Description: tRNA-Pro
Source: RNAcentral